This 497-nucleotide ribosomal RNA is filed under the name uncultured bacterium. RNAcentral's name for it is "partial 16S ribosomal RNA". It matches the Rfam family "Bacterial small subunit ribosomal RNA", at positions 28 to 507 of the family's 1533-position model. The record is from RNAcentral.
GAUGAACGCUGGCGGCGUGCCUAAUACAUGCAAGUCGAGCGAACAGACGAGGAGCUUGCUCCUCUGACGUUAGCGACGGACGGGUGAGUAACACGUGGAUAACCUACCUAUAAGACUGGGAUAACUUCGGGAAACCGGAGCUAAUACCGGAUAAUAUAUUGAACCUCAUGGUUCAAUAGUGUAAGACGGUUUUGCUGUCACUUAUAUAUCGAUCCGCGCCGCAUUAGCUAGUUGGUAAGGUAACGGCUUACCAAGGCAACGAUGCGUAGCCGACCUGAGAGGGUGACCGGCCACACUGGAACUGAGACACGGUCCAGACUCCUACGGGAGGCAGCAGAAGGGAAUUUUCCGCAAUGGGCGAAAGCCUGACGGAGCAACGCCGCGGGAGUGAUGAAGGUCUUCGGAUCGUAAAACUCUGUUAUUAGGGAAGAACAAAUGUGUAAGUAACUAUGCACGUCUUGACGGUACCUAAUCAGAAAGCCACGGCUAACUACGUG